This 463-nucleotide ribosomal RNA is filed under the name uncultured Serratia sp. RNAcentral describes it as "bacterial SSU rRNA". It matches the Rfam family "Bacterial small subunit ribosomal RNA", at positions 338 to 795 of the family's 1533-position model. The record is from RNAcentral. Lineage: Bacteria; Pseudomonadati; Pseudomonadota; Gammaproteobacteria; Enterobacterales; Yersiniaceae.
CCUGGGAGGCAGCAGUGGGGAAUAUUGCACAAUGGGCGCAAGCCUGAUGCAGCCAUGCCGCGUGUGUGAAGAAGGCCUUCGGGUUGUAAAGCACUUUCAGCGAGGAGGAAGGUGGUGAACUUAAUACGUUCAUCAAUUGACGUUACUCGCAGAAGAAGCACCGGCUAACGCCGUGCCAGCAGCCGCGGUAAUACGGAGGGUGCAAGCGUUAAUCGGAAUUACUGGGCGUAAAGCGCACGCAGGCGGUUUGUUAAGUCAGAUGUGAAAUCCCCGGGCUCAACCUGGGAACUGCAUUUGAAACUGGCAAGCUAGAGUCUCGUAGAGGGGGGUAGAAUUCCAGGUGUAGCGGUGAAAUGCGUAGAGAUCUGGAGGAAUACCGGUGGCGAAGGCGGCCUCCUGGACGAAGACUGACGCUCAGGUGCGAAAGCGUGGGGAGCAAACAGGAUUAGAUACCCGUGUAGUC